GCAUACUCUUACUUUUAUAAAAAUGUUGUAUAUUGACCACUAAUUCUGUGCAUGCUGUCAUACAGAGAUGAUGAACCAUUCCUGAAGUUGAACGCCAGAAUGCAGGAAGGUGCUGUUUAAGAGCCUAGGCGGUGGAAGAAGCACUUGCAGGUAUGCUACCGACCAGGCUCCUCAACAUCAAUCCGAGACGGAAGAUGAAACGGGAUGAAGCAGUUAGAUUGAGGAUAACGUACCUCAACAGUCUUCUUCAGAUUCUCUACAAACACAGUCUGAGUGGUGAUUAGAACAUGCCUGGCAUCCAAGGGUGUGGCCAGUUUGUUAACCCUUUACACUCUACACUUUACAAUUAGAAUUAUUGUACACUGUCUGGACAAGAUGUAGAAUACUACUGAGCGACAGUGAUAUGUCAUGUUCUUAAUACUGUUAUAUCCUGUCAUUACAGACAAGGCGGCCGGAAACUUUGAUGACCUCAAUGACACUGGCUAGGUGAAGGACAUCAACAAAAUGGCAUCAGGUCACCAGACAUCAGCUCAUAAUCCACAACGUCAUCAACCAUUUUGCGCCAAAAAUGAAGCCGUUCACAUACCAUGGCAUCCUAAGCAGGCAGCACUACACUACUGUGCAACAGUGAGAGAGAGCGGGCAAGGACAAGUAAAGCGGACCUACACUACAGCAAGACUUUGACACUUCUCCACGUUAGAGGCAGCCAUCACCCCCACCGUUGAGCAGCGGCUAUGUGUAACCCCCAAAAGAGGAGAUGAUCCGACGAUGUG
Molecule: long non-coding RNA, 773 nt
Organism: Engraulis encrasicolus (European anchovy)
Lineage: Eukaryota; Metazoa; Chordata; Actinopteri; Clupeiformes; Engraulidae
Exons: 4
Source: RefSeq, a predicted model, not a curated record